GAUGAAGAACGUAGCGAAAUGCGAUAAGUAAUGUGAAUUACAGAAUUCAGUGAAUCAUCGAAUCUUUGAACGCACAUUGCGCCCCCUGGUAUUCCGGGGGGCAUGCCUGUCCGAGCGUCAUUACAACCCUCAAGCUCAGCUUGGUGUUGGGCCCCGCCGCCCCGGCGGGCCCUAAAGUCAGUGGCGGUGCCGUCCGGCUCCGAGCGUAGUGAUUCUUCUCGCUCUGGAGGUCCGGUCGUGUGCUCGCCAGCAACCCCCAAUUUUUUUCAGGUUGACCUCGGAUCAGGUAGGGAUACCCGCUGAACUUAAGCAUAUCAAUAAGCGGAGGA
Molecule: unclassified non-coding RNA, 329 nt
Filed under: soil metagenome
Description: partial contains 5.8S ribosomal RNA, internal transcribed spacer 2, and large subunit ribosomal RNA
Rfam family: 5.8S ribosomal RNA (bases 1-120)
Source: RNAcentral